Octopus sinensis (East Asian common octopus) is the source of this 190-nucleotide long non-coding RNA. RefSeq lists it as uncharacterized. The transcript has 2 exons. NCBI's taxonomy places the organism in Eukaryota, Metazoa, Mollusca, Cephalopoda, Octopoda, Octopodidae. The record is from RefSeq and is a predicted model, not a curated record.
AUCUAUUAUACAUACACAUAUAUAUGUAUAUAUAUUUCUAUAUACAUAUAGGAUAUAUAUCAGUGGCAGCCGUCUAUAAUACGUGUUUUUCCGUUACUACAACAGCAUAAACACACUUCACCAGAGCAACAACAACAAAGUAGACUUUGUUGUCCUUCCAUUGAAUAUAUUAAACUUCUAAAGCAUCAAU